RNAcentral lists this long non-coding RNA (340 nucleotides) under Papio anubis (olive baboon). RNAcentral's name for it is "lncRNA (ENSPANG00000045846.1)". Lineage: Eukaryota; Metazoa; Chordata; Mammalia; Primates; Cercopithecidae. The record is from RNAcentral.
AUAGAGAUGGGAAGAGGAUCCAGAGGCUGACCUUGGACUUGGGCUGGCCUACUGAUUGCAGACUGCCUGGGCUGCUGCCACUGCUUUGUCUCUCCCUCCAGCUGCACUCAAGGCCCCCAUUGAUCAGCCCACUGAAUGUUUUACAGCUACAGCUUUGGACAGGUGGGAGAACUGAAGCUUGGAGAUGUGAAGUGACUUGUCCAGAUGAUUGGCCCUUAAAUCCGCAUGGCCUGACUCCCAAGCAGAUGUGGUCUCUAAGGUACAUGGUGCAGUAGUUUUUGAUCCAUGUUGAUUCCCUUUUCUUCUGCAUCCUUUGGUUCAGAUGCUCAGUGUUAAAUAG